Molecule: ribosomal RNA, 253 nt
Filed under: uncultured bacterium
Lineage: Bacteria
Description: partial 16S ribosomal RNA
Rfam family: Bacterial small subunit ribosomal RNA
Source: RNAcentral
UACGUAGGGCGCAAGCGUUGUCCGGAAUUAUUGGGCGUAAAGAGCUCGUAGGUGGUUUGUCGCGUUGUCCGUGAAAACUCACAACUCAAUUGUGGGCGUGCGGGCGAUACGGGCAGACUGGAGUACUGCAGGGGAGACUGGAAUUCCUGGUGUAGCGGUGGAAUGCGCAGAUAUCAGGAGGAACACCGGUGGCGAAGGCGGGUCUCUGGGCAGUAACUGACGCUGAGGAGCGAAAGCGUGGGGAGCGAACAGG